RNAcentral lists this small RNA (76 nucleotides) under Xanthomonas arboricola. RNAcentral describes it as "sRNA sX9". It matches the Rfam family "Xanthomonas sRNA sX9". Lineage: Bacteria; Pseudomonadati; Pseudomonadota; Gammaproteobacteria; Lysobacterales; Lysobacteraceae. The record is from RNAcentral.
AUGUGCUACGCGUCCACCCGGGUUUCUGCGUGCCGUCCACAUCCGUCCGGCGACCGCGCGUUACGUUUUGUCACUC